This 756-nucleotide ribosomal RNA is filed under the name uncultured bacterium. RNAcentral describes it as "bacterial SSU rRNA". It matches the Rfam family "Bacterial small subunit ribosomal RNA", at positions 8 to 796 of the family's 1533-position model. The record is from RNAcentral.
AGAGUUUGAUCCUGGCUCAGAAUCAACGCUGGCGGCGUGCCUAACACAUGCAAGUCGCACGAGAAAGUGGAGCAAUCCAUGAGUAAAGUGGCGCACGGGUGAGUAACACGUGAAUUAUCUACCUCCGAGUGGGGAAUAACUGAGAGAAAUCUUAGCUAAUACCGCAUAACACUUACGAGUCAAAGCAGCAAUGCGCUUGGAGAGGAGUUCGCGGCCGAUUAGUUAGUUGGCGGGGUAAUGGCCCACCAAGACGAUGAUCGGUAUCCGGCCUGAGAGGGCGCACAGACACACUGGAACUGAAACACGGUCCAGACUCCUACGGGAGGCAGCAGUGGGGAAUUUUGCGCAAUGGGGGAAACCCUGACGCAGCAACGCCGCGUGGAGGAUGAAAUAUCUUGGUAUGUAAACUCCUUUCGAUGGGGAAGAUUAUGACGGUACCCAUAGAAGAAGCCCCGGCUAACUUCGUGCCAGCAGCCGCGGUAAUACGAGGGGGGCAAGCGUUGUUCGGAUUUAUUGGGCGUAAAGGGUGCGUAGGCGGUUUGGCAAGUCUGAUGUGAAAUCUAUGGGCUCAACCCAUAGUCUGCAUCAGAAACUGCCGGGCUUGAGUAUGGGAGAGGUGAGUGGAAUUUCCGGUGUAGCGGUGAAAUGCGUAGAUAUCGGAAGGAACACCUGUGGCGAAAGCGGCUCACUGGACCAUAACUGACGCUGAUGCACGAAAGCUAGGGGAGCAAACAGGAUUAGAUACCCUAGUAGUCC